RNAcentral lists this ribosomal RNA (490 nucleotides) under uncultured bacterium. RNAcentral describes it as "partial 16S ribosomal RNA". It matches the Rfam family "Bacterial small subunit ribosomal RNA", at positions 30 to 507 of the family's 1533-position model. The record is from RNAcentral.
AUUGAACGCUGGCGGCAUGCCUUACACAUGCAAGUCGAACGGCAGCAUGAUCUAGCUUGCUAGAUUGAUGGCGAGUGGCGAACGGGUGAGUAAUACAUCGGAACGUGCCCUGUAGUGGGGGAUAACUAGUCGAAAGAUUAGCUAAUACCGCAUACGACCUGAGGGUGAAAGUGGGGGACCGCAAGGCCUCAUGCUAUAUGAGCGGCCGAUGUCUGAUUAGCUAGUUGGUGAGGUAAAGGCUCACCAAGGCGACGAUCAGUAGCUGGUCUGAGAGGACGAUCAGCCACACUGGGACUGAGACACGGCCCAGACUCCUACGGGAGGCAGCAGUGGGGAAUUUUGGACAAUGGGCGAAAGCCUGAUCCAGCAAUGCCGCGUGUGUGAAGAAGGCCUUCGGGUUGUAAAGCACUUUUGUCCGGAAAGAAAUGGCUCUGGUUAAUACCUGGGGUCGAUGACGGUACCGGAAGAAUAAGGACCGGCUAACUACGUG